CCCCGGCGUUCAACUGCCCAGCCAUUGUAGACCAAUAACAUACCGAACAAUCUGUGAUUCUGACAGCACCGCCACUUGGAAUAUCUUUGUUAGAAGGCUGGCUUGCUUAGCGUGCUAGAGGCUAUCUGCGGUCCGUACUGCCCACGAAUUGCGCACUCUUGUUGGCGGCGGUACGGCUUCGGGCUAACAGUUGGCAUACUGCGACCCACGCUGCAUUAUCCGCGCCAGCGUAGACGAGAAGUCAGGGUUAGUUAGUCUCGCUGCUGAGGCUGCCUGAAAAAGGUUAGUCCUGUCAGAUGGCAGCUGUCCAUGCUGAGAAAAGAGGACAAGGAAAGCUUGCCUCCAACGCGCUGCAUCCCACAAAGUACAACAAUGAGAGAUAACCGUGGUGAUGUACUCUCAAGAUGCUACUGACGAAGAAAGCAGUUGCCCGUGUGAUCCUGCGACAGCGCCGUGCCUGCCGCGUAGUGAAUGCUCGUUAAUUUGACGGGAAUAGGAAACCACUCCAACGACGUACGAUGUCACGAACUAUACGACGCAUUAAUUACACUGCGUACGUUAUCCACACCCCCUUUUCUUGUGUGUGAGCGGUUGGCCAAAAUGCCAUGUGGCCAUGUGGAGCGCCUUCGUGAUUCAAGGUAGAGGACACAAUGACGUUCGUGCUUGUCAAAAUCAACUGUACAGUGAGCUGGGGUGCAAGGUUCAAAUCGCUAGUUGAAUAUAUCACAGAGUUUCAGAUAAGUAUCGAACCCGAGACCCCACGGUUAAGGAUCCGAUGUCAUAGCGACCCUGAACAGCCCAUCUUAUCAACGUUCGUAAACUGUAACCAUCCGUCUCCUCGCCAGCAUUUGCCGUCGCCGUAAGAAAAAUCUCGUCAUCAGUUGUGUCCAGUACUUUUCUGGUGUGGUUCGCGCUUCAACCAUAUGAUCCAUUCAGCAAUUCGGAUGAUGUUGUAGGCUUAAGUGGGCAUCAAAAACAACGCACCUUUAAAGCUAAGUAUAUCUUUAAAAUUUGUUUUGAUGCGACUUAAAGUAAUUUUUUAUUUUAUUUUAGCAGUAUUUUGAGAAUGGAUUACUGACGAUUAUUGUUUUGGAUAACAGCCUGAGUGAGCCGUUUGAACCUUUGUCGUCAACGCGAUCGCUGUGUGGAAAUACAUAUAGAAAAAGCUGUGUCGCAAAAGGCUCAAAUGCUAAAAAAAAAAAAAAAAAAAAAACUAACAAAACGACACAUUAAUAAGGCAAAGCUAGAUGUAGGUACCAGAAUUAAGAGAGACGGUUUAAGUGAUCGAAGGAAUGGUAGGCAUAAUCGAUACUUUGCAAAAGUGUCUUCAUCUACAUCUAGAUAGUGGCAGUCCUGCAUUAGUGUAAAGGAAGUUACUUAGUCUUAUUUUACAUAUCAAUAUUGGUUCCAAGUAGUGGUAUUUAUAUUCGCAUAGAACUUGUGUUCUAACGUAAAAUAAAAAACUAUUGAUAACGUCGAGGUUGUGUCUGAUAAGGCAAAAGAUAGAUAAUCAUGUAUACAAAUAAAAGCAAGUUAUGUCUAAGUUUUAAGGAAUAUAUCAGCUCUAGCUGUACAUAUAUUACGACUAUAAGCCAAUGGAAGAUGUCACAUAACGGUCCAUUUCUAAGAACUACCUUUUGCUAGCAUAUAUCAUUGUUGCCGAGGGCGCCUUAUGGCCAACUGCAUGUUCAAUAGUUGAACACUUACAAAUUAUUGAUCAUGCAAUAAUAGCUGCGUUGGUCUUUGUACAGAUAUGUUGAGAUAAAUAGAUCUAGAUAACGUACCAGUAUUGUCAGCCUGACUGGUACAUAUACCCUAUCGUAGUAUCUGUGAGUUUGCAGAAACGGUUUCUUACGACCAACGCAUAGGUAACCGACUCACUUCUUCUGAUACAAACACGAAGAUAUAUCAGUUAGAUGCGCGCCGUUAUCUGGAGGCAUGAAGUACAAGUGUGACUAAGGCUUCAGCAAGUAUAGAGAUACAUUUCAAGUGGCACGAAGUAACCUAAUGUGAAACAGGGGCACUGCGCUUUCGCGGAGAUGUAGACACAUUCAUUUUACUGAAUCGUCCACGAAUUCCACAAGCAUCGUCCGUGAAGCACCGGCCUCGUUCAUAUGAUUCGACCGAGUCAUCCAAUCACGAUCAGCGCCUACAAAGGACUUUUUUUUUUCGCAUUGUUAUGCCUGCUCCUGCUACAAUGACCGUCAGGGCUUAUUUCUGCCAUUUUGCUAUGGUAUAUUUAUCGUUGCAUUGCUACUAAUACAUGUGGCAGUAUUCGAAAUAGGGGAGCUCAAUUGUAACGCAGCCCAUUGUUGGUGCUCACACGUUUAAAUGAUGACAAGUUGAAUCAAGGACAAAGUAUAAUGAAGCGAGGAAGAGAAGCGCAUGGGUGGGAAAAGAAUAUUAUGAGAAAGACGGGAUGGGGAUAAGAAAGUCUGAGACCUAACUAAUCCAACCGAGCUAUGUUAUUCUGUAGGUUAGGGAGAAGCCAAUUCUGAUCUAAGUAGACAUUUAGUAGACAUUACCACAGCAGCAGCACAAGCACCAGAAUCUAGGCGGCAUCUAAGGAGAACUAAGUGCCCUGCUUGUUUGAGCCAUUCGCUCUUCGUCCUCUGUUUCGAAUAAGUGAACCCGGAGUACUGCGCCAGCGCCACUGCCGUUACAGCCACUCCAUGGCUGAAUGAGGUCUUCUUCGGGUGCCACCUGCGGGCAUCCAAUAGACUACGUUGCUGCCGUUGCCCUUGCGCCAGCUGAUUACGACGAAAGGCACGUGCUUAAUUUCGUGCGCGCCUUUAUACGUCAAACCGAUAGAUAGAAAACCAACAGCAGGCCAGCAAGAACUUAUGGAAGAACCUAAAGGAGUAGCUAUCGAAUAAACGGAAAGAAAAGGGGUGAGCCGCAGACAGAGUAACCAGCCCAGUUAUCUGUUCUUUAUUUUGUGCGUCCGUUUAGCCGCUAUAGCUCUUUCUUCUCCAUAGCUCCGUAGAUUUAACAACUCAAGGAAAAAACGAGCUAAGGAUCAGAACAUACAACGAAAGACAUGUACGGAUAUCUCUAAGUAAACAACUGGGAAACGCAACCAUUCAAAGGGUUGAGCACACAAGGUAGCUAAAGAAAAGUGACGGGUGGGAGGAAACAAGUAAUAUCAAUAAGAAAAACGCAUUGUCGUCAUUCACAAGUAAGCAAUUCGCGGUUGCGGAUACGUUGACGCGGUCGUCUCCGUGAUAGAAAAACAAUGGCGUGGCGUCCUUAAUUAUUCCGUGUAUUUUCUCCAACUAAAAACAGGUCUUCCCUGACUGAGCUAACCAAUGAAACUGUAAAAAGCGUAAAUGAUUUUCUUACCCGUCUUAAUCUCUUUUCUUCUGUGCUGCUAACUUUCCGUUCUUUCUUGCUCUCUUUGUGUAUUUAUCUUUCCUGCAUUGCUCUCCACUGCACGGCCGCAUUAGAGGAGGCCCACCGCUAGAUCGACUGACUAAAAAAGGAAAACGAUGUGAACAAGACAAGGGUGGCCUAAAGGCUGAGUACUGCGGUCAUCUUUGCGGCUACGGUCUUCGAGGCUAACCAGGCAACGGACGUGGCCGGUCUUUGCCUUUGCAGUAGGAAUGUCUGUAUUAUGCCACCUCUGUUGAUAAAUGCUUGAGAAUCUCCGAGAGAGACAAGCAACAUAGAAAGAGAAAAAGCGUGUCGUAUUUGGGUGUUCUACUCUGUCCAAGUAUUUUUGGGAAGACAAAAUAGGUCUGAGACAGACAAGUUCUAGCUUCUGUAGGUGAAAAAUACGUGGCGAUUCUCUACACACACAUACACAAACACACAUAAAUAUAGACAAAUGCGAAAGUACCAGAAACAAAGAAGGGGAUCCCGCCCGACCUGGUUAGUUCUCCUUACCUUAUAAAAGAAGAUAGCCGGUGUACAGAGCCCCGAAAGUUAAAAUCUUGAACAUACAAGUCGAAUCUACUGUUUGUCCUAUAUAACCUACUAGUCGACAAAACUAACACACAACUUUUGACCGCAUCCUAUACGUUGGUUAUUCGGCCAAUACCACGACAACUGGUCGCACAUGUACUGUUUACGUAGCGGCCAGCUCUAUCCCACGUUGCUCUUACAGGAGGCGUGUGAAGCAUUAGCGUUAACUCGUUGUUGGUAGACGGCAGCCAUUGAGGAGCGACAUUGGUGACUGCUUCUGCCGGACCCCCUAAUCUUAGCUCUUGUCUUUCUUUUCGUCGCGCAUCCCCCUACGGCUUCUCUACAGCCAACUCGUCGUCCUUGUCACUAUUCCAUCGACUUUCCUGCUCGACCUUGUUGAUCUCUUUAGUCUUCGCCGGUGCAGGGGCGACUGUUUCUCUCACUGUCCCUGCACUCUUAUACACAGGCAAGCGUCCGUCGCAGGCGUUCGGUUGAGGGGCGUGCAACGAAAAAUCGGACCAUUAUGAUCCACAAGGUAGUAAGCAGCCGUGCAGCUGUUUGUUGCUGGUCCACAACAAGGACAUUUCUGGAUAGCGGAAAAUAGGCGAGAAAGCGGGGAGAUGAAAGCAGGCUCAAAGAGAAAAGUGACAACGUCGAAUAAAGGCCGAUUCAAGUCAUUGCCUGAGUCGUGGACGGUCGCGAAGACAAGGAACAGAACGAACAAACCUAGAUACUAACAACGACGGCCAAUAACGCCGUUGUGGUCUCACUACAGACUGCUGCAUUGUCCACUGGUUAUUGGUUGUAUGUCUACAGCUAUUCGUGACGCAGAAAGGAGACAAAAAGGGAAGUGUAAAAAACACCACUACGUCAAGAGACGGCUAAGGAGCUAGCGACCGGAUGGAACUGACUUCGGCGAUGGCAGCAGCAACAGCAGCUGAAUUAUAGCCAACGAACGAAAACAACGCUUGUGAGGGGAGCCAGUUACCGGAAGAGGCCCUGCCAUCGCCAACAGGCCCAGCAACGGAAGAAGAAAACUCAAUUAUGUUCUUUGCUCGCCUCGACCAGCUUCACUGAUGGUCCAUUUUCUUCAUUGACUUCUAAGCAGCAGAUAGGGCCGGGCUGGGUCGGUGAUAAAGGCCACGAGUGAAGGAAGCGUUUGCGUCAUGCUCUGAUAGAACGAUGCUGCAGCAGCGAAACAGAAAAUACAGAAAAAACCUGACACAAUUGACUUGUCCAUAGUGAGUGUAGCUUUUAUAAUUACCAACCUGUCAAGUCUAUUCCAGUGAAGCUGAGCUCUUUUCUAGGAUGAGGCGCAUAGGACACUCGUGCUUACUGUCAAUAAUCAAGUUAAACUAUUAAGUCUAAGGAUUAACACUUUGGCUUGAUGUUUAUCCUUGAAUAUUAUCGUAAUGCUUUGUAUGAAUUUAUAAUCUUGAACCAGAAUUGACGUCAUUCGAGAGACCUACCGUGAGAAUGGUUUGUUUUUUAAUUUUUUAUGUAGAAAAGCAGCGUAUGAAAGCGCAAUUUCAUUCAACGUUGGAUAGGAUACUACGAUGAAGAGAAGCCUGUACGUACAUUGUUAUGGUGCUAAUAAUGAAUAUGCUUGCCUUCUCAAUUAUGUGUUCGUCUAUUGAUGGCCUAAUGAAAGCCGCAAAGUAUCUAACAGGUCGCCCUCACCGCUUCGGCAGGCGCGGGACUGUGCUUAGUAUUAUAUUAUUCUAUCUAUAUUAUUAUAGUAUGCUUAGUAUACUAGAUUACUGAGAAUUGAGCCAGAGUAAAAAUUAAGACAGCUUACAUUUUGGGUUAAUUCAGGUUUUUUGUCGAAUUCAUCUCCGAACCGACUGAAAGACCUCUUCCAGCGAUUUCUGAAGCCAAAUGCUCUGUAUCAUAAACGAGACGAAAAUUAGUGGCUUUUAUCACUUCGUCGCUUACUCUAGUCCCACGUAUUCGUGAAUAUAUUAAUCUCUACAAUAUAAUUUUACAAAACCUCACAAUAUUUUCAAUUAGGUGCCUGUAAAAGAGUUGAAAAAACUAUUCAGAAUAGAAAAGGAAACGGUCGUAUACAGAAACCUAAGGCAAAACAUACCUAUGCAGGAGUUGACUGACUGAUGUAUUAUUGAUUGACGAUACGCUGCGAAAAGAGCAGAAUAAACCCGACUCGGAAGAUCUGCAAAACGUUUUGGCAGUCACAAUGUUUCGGGCAAUGGCAAUAUAAUACUGGAAACAGGAAAGCUCAUUUCAGAGAUUUUCCGGACGUCCUAAAGAUGGCACCAGCGAGCAGCAGCAAACGGCACGAUAUCUAUCACAAUUUCCGCCGCACGUGGAACACCUGCGCAUACUGCCAGUUUCGGUUUCCUACAAAGUCUCUGGUGGAAACCAUGCACGGCAAAUCGAAUGCCGAUAUGCCUGUUUGGUAGGUUCGUCCCUUCUCACUCAUUGCUCCUAGCGGCAGAAAGGUCCCUGUCAAUCUCCUCAAAUGUUAGCUUCUAGUUCCUAUCGCCGCUCUUGAAGUCUUUCUUUGUUAGAAGCUCAAAACGACAACGUACAUAUUUGGACAGCAGAGAAAAAUCUGCCACGAGAUUUCGGGUUACUGUGUGUAGUUUCAGUACUUUUUUUUGAGGCUAACAAUACGAUUCGAUUGUUUGAGGUUUUUCUUUAUAAAACCUUCUUAAAUGCCGCAUAUUAUAUGCGUUGCGAUCGGGGCUAGCUUAAGGCUGAACAAGCUGAGAACAGCCGCGAGAGACAAGAAGUGAGGCUAUUAUAUCGCCUAUGCGAUCAAGGCUGUCUUUCUGCAUUUUUCGGUGUCGUAAGCAGUAAAAUUUUUAUCGUUUACGGAAGAGGGCAACCUCAAAUACAAAAAUCGGUUUACAUAGACUUGAGGCGACCUGACAAAACUUAAAGUGUCAAUGGCCGCUGUUCUGUCUCUGUUUUUAAACUUCAUAGCCUCCGUCUUGGUCAGGUCUAAAUAUGAGACUGUCAUGGAAGUAGAGCCGGGCUACAUUUGAUUUCAACUGGAACCGGUUCGACCCGUAUAUCACUAAAUCGUUGCAAAAAAGAAGACGUUGACUAUUCCUCGGCCUUCUUAUUUGAUCAAAGAGGCCCUCCAAUAAGGUGGAGAAUGGAAGUGGGCUUACGUUGUCUGCUUGAGCUAAGUCCAUGUAGAAAAAAAGACGGGAGUUGGGCCGGCCACUCCGCCGUCACUGUCUACCACGGUCAGCAUGAGCACAACUUUGUCGUUGGGCACCAACUCGAAGGCUGUCCUGAAGUCGACGAAGACUGCGUAUAGCGGCGUAGCCACCGCUCUCUUGACGUCAACUGUCAUGAUCUUAAACGUUGUUCUCACCGGGAUACAUGUGGCUCUGUUGGUAUAAGCUUUCUGAGGAGUCGCUCGGUCUUUUAAUUAGCUAGCCGGAAAGAAGCUUAUAACAAACUCUUUUCCUUGUCAUUCCCUGCCAUGAUGAUGGCGCAGUUGAGUCGCCCUUUCCUUUAGGGAACGCCAACAGAACAGCCCCUGCCAACUGAGCUGAAAUUGUUCCAGCACGUAAAAAUAUAUAAAAUAAAUUUGACUAUUACCGAAUUACAAGAUAAGAAAGACUCUGAAAAUAUUAUUACGGCAGCUUGAUAGAUUACAAUUCUGUGAAAUUAUGUCAAAAAAACAGCAAAAUAAAAGACACCUUCUUAGCAUCUUGUCGGACAACAGCAAAUAUUUGUGCAACAAACUGAACUAAGGUCGCGUUGUUACGCUGCACGACUCUGGCAGGCUCCGUAUCUUUCUGCAUCGUUUGUUGUCUAACAAAAAAUGAAUAAGGUUUACUUAUGCUUCUUCAAGUCACCAUAUUUUUCAUCUGCGCCGGUUUGACUUCAUUGUAUUCCCAAAAAUUAAAAAAUAACCUGUUGUACACAACGAAGUAAUUGGCUUCUGUUACUUCGCUACGAUAGGUCGUGCUGUAGGUUCUUUAAAAUAGAAGCAUCUGUGAUAAAAGGCUAAGGGUAUAGAAUCAUUUGUUGCAAACCCCAUGUGAAUUCUAUGCUACACAGAGCGCCUAUUGAUGGUAUUCCGUGGUAGCCACACUUUCUUUUAUACGAUUAUUUGUCACAGAGGAGUGUUUUUCGUCAACGCCUUUCUCCAUUGCGUUGAUGUCCUGGUGGUAGAAUUUGAUCGAUGAUUGGUACUACGUGAUGAGUGUCGUCAAACAUCCCAUUGCUUGUAUGGCCAUACCCCCUGCUUUUCGUCGAUAGUAGCACCAAUCGUAGUAAAAGCAAGAAGGGCUUUAUCAAAGGGGUUUAAUCAAGGCAGCCGUGGGGUGUCUGUUUUAUGUUAACUGAGUUGCGUUCGGAGGAGGUAUUUCAAACAAUGGGCAAAAAUUAAAAAAAUUACGUGGGCUGAGUAAACGGCACGAACGAGCCGAUUUCAUCGCGUGGAAAUUGACAGUGGCGGCCUUGAAGCACGAUAAUUAUUCAACGUCGAACUGAAGCUCGGUCAUUAUAAUAUUAAGUACAUUGUAUAUGUCGAUAGAGAAACAGAAAGCAAGGGA
Molecule: long non-coding RNA, 8441 nt
Organism: Varroa destructor (honeybee mite)
Lineage: Eukaryota; Metazoa; Arthropoda; Arachnida; Mesostigmata; Varroidae
Source: RefSeq, a predicted model, not a curated record